RNAcentral lists this long non-coding RNA (3275 nucleotides) under Brassica napus (rape). Its description in RNAcentral is "long non-coding RNA (BNAP_LNC007696)". Lineage: Eukaryota; Viridiplantae; Streptophyta; Magnoliopsida; Brassicales; Brassicaceae. The record is from RNAcentral.
UCUUUUGAGGUUUCAAAGGGGGAGUGGGAAUAUCUGGCUAUAUAAAGUGAACUUAGUAUAAUCUUUUGGACCUCAAGAAGCAUCACUUCUAACAUCUCCCUCUAGAUACUACAGUUUCAAAUUGAGGCAAAGAUGCAUCUCCACAAAGUUGGAUGUAUAGGUGAGAAGUGAAUUCCAGCAGCCUAAACUCUAAAAGAAAGAUACAGAUACUCUGCAAAGGCUACCAGAGUUACAUCAUAUAUAUUCACUGUUUAGUGUUUUGUUGACAGUUUGCUUUGCUUACUAAUGAGUAACAAAACAAUGAUAAAUACAACAUACAAAAGGAGGCAGCUGAUCUGAUAGGUUUGGAUUAGUAUCCACUAACUGAAGCUAACUGGUUUUACAAAUUCCAAAUCACUUACUCGCCUAUUUUGGUACACCAUCAAAUGAAAAAAGUAGAGACAGUGGUUGCUGUGCAUGUGGGUGAACCAGGGGACCAGAAGAAGUUGACAGAAGAGAGAAAGCACGGUGGAAAUCUUGAGAUUGAUGGAGGACUUCUGAGUAUUCUCCCACACCUGCCAAAAAACAGUUCACCUAAUGUCCAAGGAACUAGAUAUCUAUAUAUAUUAAAAAGACCAGUGAGAAGUGCAAAAUACCAAGUUGAAACUUGUUCUUCCCUGCUGAGAACCCGCCUGAGGUUUGAUACGCAGAUAAAGAGUGGUUGCUACUAGCAAACAACUGCUCUUCCUUAGAUCCAUUGCCUCUCUGGAAGCUCAAGGUAAAGCCACUUUCCCUCUGUGUUGGCUUUGUAUCACAAGUGGUACCCCACACAACAUUUGUAUGCUGUCUUUGAUCUGCAGGAGUAAGCAUUUCACAUUUAGAUCUCCAUCAAAUGAAGUUGUGUAUGUGUGUGACAGAGACAGAUAGACAGAUAGACAAAUGAAGUGAUUCUUACCAUACACCCUCUCUGGAUUAAAUGGAAAGACUCCUUGUGACUUGCGACGCCUUGCAUUAUGAUGAGAAAGACGUAUGCGGCAGCUUCGUUUCUUCUCAUCAAACUCAGAGACGGCAUGCAACCUGAAAAUUACAACAUGUUCUCAACCAUGAGCAUGCAGCUUCAGAAUCAAAUGAGAGGCCAGAACAUAAUUAUAAUUAAGGGUCCUUUUUACCUGCUACACUGUUGGCAGAAUCGUCGUUCCACGCCACUCACAGUAACUUUGGGGCACUUUGAAUGGGUUUCACAGACUCUAUGCUUGCGGUGAUAGUCCUUAGCAGAUGAGAGAUCCAGAUCACAUCCAUCAACUUGGCAACGAGGGACUUGCAUGCUGCUCUGACCACAGGACUUAGAUUUCUUCCGAGUAACAACACAAGGAGCCAACAGCUUCGUAGAAACGGGUGAAACGUCUCUACCAGAGUACGUCCGCUUUCCAAGUUUUAAACAAAGGUCUGAUUCAGCAGCUGUGGAUGUCUUCACCUGGACAAAAUCUAUGUUGCUGCAAGAAUCUCCAGGGGAAUUUUCUGAUGCAAGCUUGGUUUGUUUGAUUAUGGGAGAUGAUGAGUUGGUGGAGGUUGACUGUGAGCUUUUUGAUACAGAAGUGGUGUGCCAGAAACUGGUGGUAGAGUCAUUACUAACUCUCUGGAGGCCAUCCAAACAGGGAAAUAAAGAUUCAAUUCCUUCACCUUUCUCAAUUUCCCACUCACUAGUAGUAGUAGUAAGCUGCUUUUUGUCAUUUGAAGGAUUGGAGAUGAUCAGAUUCUCCCAGUCCCACAGCAACGGAGAUCUCAUGUUACAGUCCAUAGCAAGAAGAUGUGGAGAGACUUAUCAGAGUAACAACAAAUCCUGCAAAGCUUUGCAUAUAAGAAAAUAUCAAAUAAGAGAGAAAACUAAGCAAUCCUUGAAAUGCUUGCUACCUAAUAGAAGACGUCAAGACCUUUGUGAAUAUCAAGCACCACACACACACACACUCUCUUUUGAAGUAAGCAAAAGAGAAAGAUUUUCUAUGUUUCACACUUAGAGACCAUCAAAAAGGGGGGAAGAGAGAGAGAGAGAGAGAGUAAUAUCUUUUUUCUUCUUGGGUGCGUGCUCUCUCCAUCACACAAAAACUAAGUGGCAUUUAUUGAAAUGGGGCCAAAGAAUAUCAAAUGCAAGGCAAGUUGAGAAGAAACACACGAUGUAAACGGAAUCUAAUUUAAUAAUACACAUUAAUUUAAAACGUUUUUACUUUUUUUUUGUACUUUGCAGAAGGGUUCUUCCCCCUAACUAACCACCCAAGGAGGUUACCUAAAAGCUUUUACUCAUAGGGUCUACACAGUGAAUGAAACAAUGUCAAAGAAAACGGCACCAAAGUGAUGUGUCUUAAAGAAAAAAACAAUGUGACAGUAAGUUAGGUUCCGAUCCCAAUCAGUACGGUCCCCAUUAGCCCUUAGUAUGUUUAAAGAAGUGGUCCCAAAAACCACCAAUAAAUUCCCUACUCAUUUCAUAUGAGUAAGGAAUGCAAAGUCACUCCAUUAUAUGGUCAGGUUGCAACCUAAUGGGAGUGUUUCUAUUCGAAGAAAAUAAGAAUGUGUAACGUUCAUUUGCUCAAGUGAAACCAGUUGCAUGUUUAGGUUUUGGUUUCAUCUACUUUUCCAAACCUAUGAAGUUGUCUUCUUCUUGGAUCAUGAUGUAUUGUAUGUCAACUUCUUCUUGGAUCAUGUUGUAUUGUAUGUACUUGCUGGAUUGUUGAAUGUCAAUUUCGUUACUUUAUCGGACAUGUCUAUUGUUUCAUAAACAUACAUCAACUGUUUUAUUAAAUGAUGCAUCCUGUGACAAGAGAAUCUUUUGAGGUUUCAAAGGGGGAGUGGGAAUAUCUGGCUAUAUAAAGUGAACUUAGUAUAAUCUUUUGGACCUCAAGAAGCAUCACUUCUAACAUCUCCCUCUAGAUACUACAGUUUCAAAUUGAGGCAAAGAUGCAUCUCCACAAAGUUGGAUGUAUAGGUGAGAAGUGAAUUCCAGCAGCCUAAACUCUAAAAGAAAGAUACAGAUACUCUGCAAAGGCUACCAGAGUUACAUCAUAUAUAUUCACUGUUUAGUGUUUUGUUGACAGUUUGCUUUGCUUACUAAUGAGUAACAAAACAAUGAUAAAUACAACAUACAAAAGGAGGCAGCUGAUCUGAUAGGUUUGGAUUAGUAUCCACUAACUGAAGCUAACUGGUUUUACAAAUUCCAAAUCACUUACUCGCCUAUUUUGGUACACCAUCAAAUGAAAAAAGUAGAGACAGUGGUUGCUGUGCAUGUGGGUGAACCAGGGGACCAG